Molecule: ribosomal RNA, 438 nt
Filed under: uncultured Alphaproteobacteria bacterium
Lineage: Bacteria; Pseudomonadati; Pseudomonadota; Alphaproteobacteria
Description: bacterial SSU rRNA
Rfam family: Bacterial small subunit ribosomal RNA
Source: RNAcentral
GAGUUUGAUCCUGGUCUCAGAACGAACGCUGGCGGCAUGCCUAACACAUGCAAGUCGAACGAGACCUUCGGGUCUUAGUGGCGCACGGGUGCGUAACGCGUGGGAAUCUGCCCUUAGGUUCGGAAUAACUCAGGGAAACUUGAGCUAAUACCGGAUAAUNACCUUGGGUCCAAAGAUUUAUCGCNUGAGGAUGAGCCCGCGUAGGAUUAGCUAGUUGGUGNGGUAAAGGCUCACCAAGGCGACGAUCCUUAGCUGGUCUGAGAGGAUGAUCAGCCACACUGGGACUGAGACACGGCCCAGACUCCUACGGGAGGCAGCAGUGGGGAAUAUUGGACAAUGGGCGAAAGCCUGAUCCAGCAAUGCCGCGUGAGUGAUGAAGGCCCUAGGGUUGUAAAGCUCUUUUACCCGGGANGAUAAUGACAGUACCCGGGAGAAUAA